AUUGAACGCUGGCGGAAUGCUUUACACAUGCAAGUCGAACGGCAGCACGGGGGCAACCCUGGUGGCGAGUGGCGAACGGGUGAGUAAUACAUCGGAACGUGCCCAGUCGUGGGGGAUAACUACGGGAAACCGUAGCUAAUACCGCAUACGAACUCUGGUUGAAAGCGGGGAUCGCAAGACCUCGCGCGAUUGGAGCGGCCGAUGGCAGAUUAGGUAGUUGGUGGGGUAAAGGCUCACCAAGCCGACGAUCUGUAGCUGGUCUGAGAGGACGACCAGCCACAC
This 282-nucleotide ribosomal RNA is filed under the name uncultured bacterium. RNAcentral's name for it is "partial 16S ribosomal RNA". It matches the Rfam family "Bacterial small subunit ribosomal RNA", at positions 30 to 313 of the family's 1533-position model. The record is from RNAcentral.